AGCCGCUGAUGACUUCUGAUACUUUUCUGACACCUCGUAUGAACGCUGUAUUACAGCAGCUGAUUAUAAUUUCUAGUCUGAGGCUC
RNAcentral lists this small nucleolar RNA (86 nucleotides) under Carassius auratus (goldfish). Its description in RNAcentral is "Small nucleolar RNA SNORD60 (ENSCARG00000046835.1)". It matches the Rfam family "Small nucleolar RNA SNORD60". Rfam says of the family: U60 belongs to the C/D class of snoRNA which contain the C (UGAUGA) and D (CUGA) box motifs. Most of the members of the box C/D family function in directing site-specific 2'-O-methylation of substrate RNAs. Lineage: Eukaryota; Metazoa; Chordata; Actinopteri; Cypriniformes; Cyprinidae. The record is from Rfam by way of RNAcentral.